RNAcentral lists this long non-coding RNA (1153 nucleotides) under Cyanistes caeruleus (blue tit). RNAcentral describes it as "lncRNA (ENSCCEG00000007097.1)". The record is from RNAcentral. Lineage: Eukaryota; Metazoa; Chordata; Aves; Passeriformes; Paridae.
AUGAUUAAACCAUCGAUCAAGAGCUGCUGUUUCAUUUCUCUCCCCAUAAACAGCCGCUCUCCGCAGGCCCGGCCAGAUGGGCGGAUAAUUUCCAGCAGAACUUGGAAUCUAUUGGAGUUUCUGGAAGCCUGGCUCAGAAAAAGCUGGGAAUAUCCCAGGGAUGCCCGCGCAAUCACACGGCCAAUUUGCGGCAGUAAUUACCUCGAUUCCGUGUGCGCUCCCGUUAAUUGGCGCCCCAGCUGCCGUCGGGAUGCACCGACGGCCACUUGUGCGCGGAGAGCCGCGCCGUGGGAAUCGCGCCUGCGGAUCCGGCGUGGAUCCCAAAUAUUCCGCGUAUCCCGCGUCUCCCCGGAGCCAGGAGUGCCGUGGUCAAGGUGUUUGGGGCAUCUCCAGAGGACACGGAACACUCUCGGCUGGAAGGGACCCACAGGGACCCGAGAAUUUUGGGAAGUGCCCUGGAGAGAGGGAGGAGCCCGGAGGGCGUCUGUAGGACCUGCCAACUCUUAAUUUUUCCAGUUUGGAAUAAGAGCCUCGGAACCAUCUGUUUGCUGUCAACCGAUGUUUGUUUGGAAAGGGAUUUUAUGGAUUUUUUCCAGCUCGCACUCCUGUGCUUCCACCCAGUUUACUGAGCUCCAUAAACGGUGGCUCUGGCGGGGUUUUUUUUUGGAGGGGGGAGUUUUGAUUUAGGAUUUAAUCAAAAUGGAGCCGUCAGUGUCUUUAAUCAAUGGGAAUGGAGAUCAAAACCAAAGGAAUGGCAGUGAGGGAUGAAAUAUUUAAUGGAUCCCUUUGAAAGUGCCUGGUUCCCGACCUAAUGGCUACCAGGGAUCAUUAGGACAAACUUCCCCAAAAAAUAACCUCCAAAAACCAAAAGACAGCGGUGCUUUUUAAAGAUAAAAAGGGGGAAGGCAAUUUAAGGCUUAAAAGCAGUUCCAGCCCUUUAUCCCAUUAAAUAUUAAAACCAAGCGGCUCCGGGGCUGCCGGAGCUCCCGGGAACAGGGAUCGGUGUCCAAAGAUCUCCGUGCUCAUCCCGGGCUGGGCUGUGGGGAUGGAGCGGAGCAGACCUGGAUUGGGCCAUGGGAUGGUGGUGCUGGUAUUCCCUGCUGGGAUGGGUGGAUUUAGUGUGGAAAUAAAUCAGGGAAAAGUGGGAAGUGCA